UACAGGGGGGGCAAGCGUUGUUCGGAAUUACUGGGCGUAAAGGGCCAGUAGGCGGCCAACUAAGUCCGACGUGAAAUCCCCAAGCUUAACUUGGGAACUGCGUCGGAUACUGGAUGGCUUGAAUUCGGGAGAGGGAUGCAGAAUUCCAGGUGUAGCGGUGAAAUGCGUAGAUAUCUGGAGGAACACCCGUGGCGAAAGCGGCGCGCUGGACCACUACUGACGCUGAGGAACGAAAGCUAGGGGAGCAAACAGG
RNAcentral lists this ribosomal RNA (253 nucleotides) under uncultured bacterium. Its description in RNAcentral is "partial 16S ribosomal RNA". It matches the Rfam family "Bacterial small subunit ribosomal RNA", at positions 524 to 776 of the family's 1533-position model. The record is from RNAcentral.